RNAcentral lists this ribosomal RNA (431 nucleotides) under uncultured bacterium. RNAcentral describes it as "bacterial SSU rRNA". It matches the Rfam family "Bacterial small subunit ribosomal RNA", at positions 29 to 506 of the family's 1533-position model. The record is from RNAcentral.
AUGAACGCUGGCGGCGUGGAUAAGGCAUGCAAGUCGAAUGGGUUUAGACCCAUGGCAAACGGGUUCGGAUAACAUAGGAAUUUUCCCUAAAGUCGCGGAUAAUCCAGAGAAAUUUGGAAUAAUACGCGAUAUGCUCUACGGAGUAAAGAUUUAUCGCUUUAGGAGAAGCCUGUGUCCUAUCAGCUUGUUGGUGAGGUAAUAGCUCACCAAGGCUAUGACGGGUAGGGGGUGUGAGAGCACGGCCCCCAACAUUGGAACUGAGACACUGUCCAAACACCUACGGGUGGCUGCAGUCGAGAAUAUUCCACAAUGGACGAAAGUCUGAUGGAGCGACGCCGCGUGCGGGAUGAAGGUCUUCGGAUUGUAAACCGCUUUUUUCAGGGAGCAAUUUCGAUGAGAGUACCUGAAGAAUAAGAGGUUACUAACUCUGU